This 461-nucleotide ribosomal RNA is filed under the name uncultured bacterium. RNAcentral describes it as "partial 16S ribosomal RNA". It matches the Rfam family "Bacterial small subunit ribosomal RNA", at positions 29 to 506 of the family's 1533-position model. The record is from RNAcentral.
AACAAACGCUGGCGGCGUGCCUAAUACAUGCAAGUCGAACGGGGAAAGCUUUCGGGUGAGUACUAGUGGCGCACGGGUGAGGAACGCGUGGCUAAUCUGCCUUAGAGUGGGGGAUAACUAGUCGAAAGAUUAGCUAAUACCGCAUAAGACCACGAGAGCUGCGGCUUUUGAGGUCAAAGGUUUUUCGCUCUAAGAUGAGUCCGCGUAAGAUUAGCUAGUUGGUGAGGUAACGGCUCACCAAGGCGACGAUCUUUAACUGGUCUGAGAGGAUGAUCAGUCACACGGGAACUGAGACACGGUGAAGACUACGACGGGAAGCAGCAGUAGGGAAUAUUGCACAAUGGAGGAAACGCUGAUGCAGCGACGCCGCGUGAGUGAUGAAGGCCUGGGGGUCGUAAAGCUCUGUCGCAGAGGAAUAACACAAGGAAGGUACCCUGUAAGAAAGGAUCGGCUAACUUGGU